This 300-nucleotide ribosomal RNA is filed under the name Triticum aestivum (bread wheat). RNAcentral's name for it is "partial small subunit ribosomal RNA". The record is from RNAcentral. Lineage: Eukaryota; Viridiplantae; Streptophyta; Magnoliopsida; Poales; Poaceae.
AUGUUACGUGCGGGUGAAUUGAGGGCGCGGAUGAACUUUAUUAUAAAGGUUGCACAAUGCAUUGGGUGGACAGGCUCAAUGCUUCGUCUGCAGGCUACCCUGACAAUGAUUGUUUCGUUGUCGACCGGGUGCGGUUUCAGCAUCGUUUCUUGCUACUACAGGAUCAAAGUCGUUGUAGGCUGGGAGGCAAUAAAUACUAUCAGGCCCGUUCAUGGUGUGUUGGGUUCGGCCCAGUUACAAGACAGAGGCAGAGGAGAUGAAUACAAGAAGUCGAGAAGACACCCUUCUCUCUGUUUCUAA